CGCCAGUGAUGAUUUCUCCUAAAUUUGGGUCCUAGUCCAUAAUGGAUUUCACCCUGCAGGGAACCCUUAUUCUUUUUCUGGGCUUGUCUGAGGUCAGGCUUGUCUGAGAGUGUGGGUAUUCCUGGCCUGAGAAUCUCAAGAAAUCAGCUCCUUCUGGCUUCCUGGUGGGUGCACCCAAGGGUCCAUAAACCUCUGCUCUAAAUCACUGUGUUCAUGGUUAUCCUGAUGUAAUUAAUGUGAAAUUCAGCUCCAGAUAUCCCAAAUCUCUAUGUGACAUAAAUAAUAAUAAUAAUAAUAAUCACUGCUUAGAAUCA
RNAcentral lists this long non-coding RNA (314 nucleotides) under Anas platyrhynchos platyrhynchos (common mallard). Its description in RNAcentral is "lncRNA (ENSAPLG00000020744.1)". Lineage: Eukaryota; Metazoa; Chordata; Aves; Anseriformes; Anatidae. The record is from RNAcentral.